Molecule: long non-coding RNA, 232 nt
Filed under: Capsicum annuum
Lineage: Eukaryota; Viridiplantae; Streptophyta; Magnoliopsida; Solanales; Solanaceae
Description: long non-coding RNA (CANN_LNC020848)
Source: RNAcentral
UUUGCUUGACCAAAGCAUACAGAUUACCAAUUAUUCAGUUAUCAAAUUUUAGUAUCUCAGCUUACAGAUUAUCUCAGAAAUAAUAUAUGCUUGGUCAUGCAUUCUCAAAUUUUACAGUUCUUAUGUAUUUUGCUCAUCUAUUUCAUACAUGCAUAAUCAGUUAUUUCAUGCUAUUCAGUUAGUCAUUAUCUUAUGCACAGUUAACCCAUGCAUUUCAGCCUAACCUGAUCUC